CUCACGUGGUCCAGCAGCGGACGGAGGCGCGGCCCCAGCUCCGAGCUCAGGAGCCGCACAGGCGCCCGGGGCCGUAGCAAGAGCCUCUUCAGGGCGCCCAGAGCUGCACCCACGAGCCGCGCGUCGCCUUCGCCCAGUGCGCCCAGCAGUGCCGGCAGCAGCGCGCUCACGUGCCGCACCUGCAGGGACUCGUGGUCAGCCUCUCGCAGACCUUGCCGCGGCCGGGUCAGGCUGCCCUCCGCCCCUUCCCUUGUCUCACCUUCCUGCGAUUCAGCGCGAGGUGGCCCAGGCCCAGCAGGCCCAACCAGCGCACGGUGGGCUCGGGGUCUCCCUGCCAGGUGAGAAGUCGCUCCAGGAUAACCUCCUCCCGCAGGAGCCGUGCGGUCGGCCGGCUCUGCAACAGCUAGGCGAGGCACACGGGGUCAGCUGCUGCGGCUUAGGAUCAAGUCCACAGUCACCCUUCGCCACCCAUUCGGGAAGCAGGCUCACCCCGGUGAAGAAGGCCAUAGCCGUGAGGCGCUGCGGGUCGUCGGCGCUGCGCAGCCGGGGAAGCAAGUCCGCGAAGAGGCCUCGCAGCGCCAGCACCUGGCCAGCAACGAGUCUCCUCCCGGUGUGACAUCCUGCGGCCCCUCCUCACCUCGCCAGCAGCAGGACACCCUCCAGGUGGGUGUGGGCUCCCACCAGCCUCCUCCAGCCUCCCGCCUGCUCCAUGCACGUGACCACCAUGCGGCCUCCAUCCCCAGUGAGCAGAGCCUUCAAGGCCUCCACAGCGCAGCUGGCGGUGGGGACAGUGAGCAGGUGGGCGGUGGGGCUGAGAGGGUGGCAGCAUGCUGGCCCGUCCCACAUACCCUGGUGUUGCCUCUCACCUGGCAUGGCUGUGUGGUGGCCCUCGGUGGGACAGAAUCCAAAUCUUGGGCAUGUCAGGGGAGCGAGGGCUGCGGGCCAGCUCGUGCAGCUGUGUGACUAGUGCAAGCAGCAGAUGAGAGUAGAAGCCCCUUGUGGCUCCCACGCAGCCUGAAACAGCCAGCAUCUCCCCAAGAGCACGAGUGGCCUGUGGAGCAAGUGGCUCACUCAGGCCCUGGGCGCCAGGAGUUGUGUUGGACAGCAGAGGGACAGGCAUGCCAUAGACAGGGCAGGGACUAAGCCUCAGACACGCAUGGGACAUUCCCGGAGGAGUGACCCAGGUGCAGACUCCCAGUCACCGCCCUCCUCCCCACCACCCUGCGCCCGUGCCUGGGUAAUGGCUGGAGCCACCUACCGCCAGUGCCUGGGGCUCAGACCCUGAAGCACCCUUCAGUGCCCACAGCAGUUGUACCAGCACCUGCCCAUUUACACGCUGGUUACGGCUUAGGCUGCGCCAGAGCUCGGCCGCUGCCCUGAGGGUUUGGAGGGGGCUGGUGUGAGACAAGGGAUGGUGCAGGGUGGCUGUCGAGGAGAGGUAAGGGGUCCCCAGCUAGGGUGGAGGCAGCCACUAGGACUCCAGCAGGGGAGGAGCAGGAAACCACUACCCUGGUCUCCCCCACCCCUGAAUCCCAAAUAAACAAAUGAAGUGUUA
Molecule: non-coding RNA, 1555 nt
Organism: Saimiri boliviensis boliviensis (Bolivian squirrel monkey)
Lineage: Eukaryota; Metazoa; Chordata; Mammalia; Primates; Cebidae
Source: RefSeq, a predicted model, not a curated record